This 242-nucleotide small RNA is filed under the name Oryza sativa Japonica Group (Japanese rice). RNAcentral describes it as "sRNA Os06g0710850". Lineage: Eukaryota; Viridiplantae; Streptophyta; Magnoliopsida; Poales; Poaceae. The record is from RNAcentral.
UGAAUCUUGUAACACACAAGUCAAUAUCAGACCAUCUGAUACUAUCAACAUCUCCUUAUGACUUUAUCGUGCAAAGCUACUCAUGUAUGAUUCAGCAAGAAAGCAACAUGAGGAAAUUCUAAAUGUUUCUGAACAUUUCUGAUUCCUCCUUAUCAUGAUGCCUGUAAGUGUUACCUACUUGUUGCCUUAACUACAAAAAUUGCAUGCUCAAGUACAAACACACAAGUGUACCAAUUGAUCCU